GGGGAGUGAAAAAGAACCUGAAACCGUGUACGUACAAGCAGUGGGAGCACCCUUUUGGGUGUGACUGCGUACCUUUUGUAUAAUGGGUCAGCGACUUAUAUUCUGUAGCAAGGUUAACCGAAUAGGGGAGCCGGAGGGAAACCGAGUCUUAAUUGGGCGUUAAGUUGCAGGGUAUAGACCCGAAACCCGGUGAUCUAGCCAUGGGCAGGUUGAAGGUUGGGUAACACUAACUGGAGGACCGAACCGACUAAUGUUGAAAAAUUAGCGGAUGACCUGUGGCUGGGGGUGAAAGGCCAAUCAAACCGGGAGAUAGCUGGUUCUCCCCGAAAGCUAUUUAGGUAGCGCCUCGUGAAUUCAUCUCCGGGGGUAGAGCACUGUUUCGGCUAGGGGGCCAUCCCGGCUUACCAACCCGAUGCAAACUGCGAAUACCGGAGAAUGUUAUCACGGGAGACACACGGCGGGUGCUAACGUCCGUCGUGAAGAGGGAAACAACCCAGACCGCCAGCUAAGGUCCCAAAGUCAUGGUUAAGUGGGAAACGAUGUGGGAAGGCCCAGACAGCCAGGAUGUUGGCUUAGAAGCAGCCAUCAUUUAAAGAAAGCGUAAUAGCUCACUGGUCGAGUCGGCCUGCGCGGAAGAUGUAACGGGGCUAAACCAUG
Molecule: ribosomal RNA, 657 nt
Filed under: Salmonella enterica subsp. enterica serovar Bareilly
Lineage: Bacteria; Pseudomonadati; Pseudomonadota; Gammaproteobacteria; Enterobacterales; Enterobacteriaceae
Description: partial 23S ribosomal RNA
Rfam family: Bacterial large subunit ribosomal RNA
Source: RNAcentral